Molecule: ribosomal RNA, 454 nt
Filed under: uncultured Pseudomonadota bacterium
Lineage: Bacteria; Pseudomonadati; Pseudomonadota
Description: bacterial SSU rRNA
Rfam family: Bacterial small subunit ribosomal RNA
Source: RNAcentral
GUAAAGCGCAUUCACUGGUGAAGAUGAUGACGGUAGCCAGAGAAGAAGCCCCGGCUAACUCCGUGCCAGCAGCCGCGGUAAUACGGAGGGGGCAAGCGUUGUUCGGAAUUACUGGGCGUAAAGGGCGCGUAGGCGGAACAUUAAGUUAGGGGUGAAAGGCCUGGGCUCAACCUGGGAACGGCCUCUAAGACUGAUGAUCUCGAGUCCGGAAGAGGAUGGCGGAAUUCCCAGUGUAGAGGUGAAAUUCGUAGAUAUUGGGAAGAACACCGGUGGCGAAGGCGGCCAUCUGGUCCGGCACUGACGCUGAGGCGCGAAAGCGUGGGGAGCAAACAGGAUUAGAUACCCUGGCAGUCCACGCCGUAAACGAUGUGUGCUAGCCGUUGGGGCACUUGGUGUCUCGGUGGCGCAGCUAACGCGAUAAGCACACCGCCUGGGGAGUACGGUCGCAAGAUUA